GUCUGUGCCUGGGAUGCAAACCAGUGAACCCCGGGCUGCUGAAGCGGAGUGCACGAACUUUGCUAUACCACUGGGCUGGCCCCAAGGAUGACUUUCUAAUAGGCUGUUCUGCAUGUUGCUCGACCUUCCUGCCUGAUGCUCCACUGUCACCAUCAGCUGAACACCGCAGGGGUGCGGCUGCCUGAGAACAACCUGAAGAAACUCCUCUCCUCUGGCCAGUAAAAGACUGAGCUUACAUGAUCUGACUUCCCAAAGGAGACACAGUGUCCAGCAGAGCCAGGAUUUGAACUCGGCAAAGUCAAAAUGGAAGAACCAUUCCUUCAAAAACGAGCAUCACACAUGUGAAGGGAUUUUUUCUGUUAGUAACAGAGGCCCUGGGCUGCCAGGUGGGCUUAGAGAACCUCCUGCCUCCGCGACAGCUCUGGCUUGUUUUAAUUGGGCUUUCUCUGCUGUCUUUGGCAGAAACAUACUGGUUCAGUAAAUGCACACAGUAUGAAUUGGAUAUUCGCCGUGUGUUCUGGAUUUGGAAGAAGAUCACCAGCAUGACAGAUGCCAUUUGUGACAUCCAUGGAUACACUACUCACCUCAACCUGACACAGAACCAAAUUCAGGUCUUUCCUCCUUAUAGCUUCACUAAUUUGUCUGCUCUGGUGGUCUUGUAACUAGAAUGGAAUUCCACUUGGAAGAUAGAUGAGAGGGCCUUUCGGAGACUGGAAAACGUGACCCUUUUGAAUUUAGUAGAAACUAAGAUUCAAAGCAUGAACAACUCCUUUGAAGGCCUGCUCAACUUGGAGACUUUGCUCCUGAUCCACAGUCAAAUUACCCCAAUUCACAAAAAUGCCUUGGUCCCUCUUGUCAAAUUGAAACGUUUAAGCUUAUCUCGAAACUUUGUUGCAGAUUUUCCCAAUAUUCUUGAAGCAGUAUAGCAUCUUCCACACCUGGAAUACCUUGAUCUUACUAACGACAGCAUCAUCUCCUUGGACCACGGCCCCGGGUCAUUGGCCUCCCUGACCCAGCUGAGCCUGCAGGGGAACAGACUAAUAGACUUGAAUUUCUCUGCUUUGUCACUGCCUAAUCUGACCACUCUGGAUGUCUCUCAGAAUAGCCUUCGAGUCCUCCAUAAUGUGGAUCUGGAAACUCUGAUCCAACUGAGGAGCUUGAAUCUGAGUGGAACACUAGAGAUGCUUCCAGCCAAACACCUACAGAAUCUAAGGGAAAUGGACCUUAGUAACUGGGAGCUUAGGGGUGGUCACUUAAAUUUGAACGCAGUGUAUCACCUCCUCAGAAAUGUACCUGUUUUAGAGGCUUUGGCUUUUCAGAAAAAUGCCACUGAUGCAGGGGCGUAAAGUGCUUUGCCAACUAUACCAGGCUUUUGUACGUUGACUUGAGCCAAAUCAGCGAUCUGGUUCACCUCAGUCACAGUGAUUUUGAUGCUAUGCCCAGCCUCCAAAGGCUGAAUCUAAACAAGUACCAAUUUUCCUUUGUCAACAGGACCUGGAGUGCCCUCCAGAACUUGACAAACCUAGACCUGAGCCACAACAGAUUGAAAAGAUUUCCAGAUUUUGCCUUUUCACCCUUGAGGUAUCUACAAGCUCUCUUUCUCUCUAGAAAUCCCUUCACAGAACUCAACAAUAUGGCCUUCUGUGGGCUGUAUAUUGAAGGAACUCAACUUAGCUGAGUGCUGGAUAGUGAAAAUUGACAGAUAUUCCUUUGCUCAGUUUCCAAAUUUAGAGAAUUUAGACCUUGGAGACAACAAUAUUCGGGCUCUGAAGCACAGAACCUUCCAGUUUCUGAACAAGCUCCAAGUUCUGAUUCCCUCCCAGAACCGCCUGAAAGCGAUAGGGAAGAAUGCGUUUUCUGGCCUCACUUACCUCUAUAGACUUGACCUGGCAAACUAUAUCUUGUCAAGUUUUCAGGCAGGCCUUUUCUCGGGGCUUGAAAAUCUAGAACUUUUGAAUCUCAGUUUUGAUAAAAUUACAUACGAAACAACUAGGACCUUGCCAUUUCCUCCAUUUAUAAACUCAGAUCUUUGAAACAACUCAACCUAGAAGGACAAAUACAUGGAAUUCAGGUUUUCCAGCCAACUUCUUCUAAGAACUAAAUGUCUUGCAGGAGCUACUCCUAGGAAAAAAUCCCAUCAUAUUCCUGGACCACCUCCAAUUUGACUCCCUGACUAAUGUCACAAAGUUGGGUAUCUCAGGAACAAAAGCUGGAGGCCAAAAUCUCUAUUUAAAUAUUUCCUUAUCCCAAAAACUCAAAAGACUAAAAAUGUUGAGCCUGGAAAAAACAACUUAGCGUCACUGACCCUGACAUGUUCUCUGGCUUAGAAAGCCUUCAGGUCUCCUCUGUAAAAUUUAACAACCUAAAAGUCGUUAAUCAAAGUCAUCUGGAGAAUCUGAAGUCUCUGAUGUACUUUGAUCACUAUGGGAACACACUUCAGUGCAGCUGUGACAAUGUGUGCUUCGAGAACCAGUCAAUAAACACAGCAAACGUCCAUAUCCCCUACUUCCGGAGCUACCCCUGUCAGCAGCCAAUACCCAGAAUUUGUUGAUAGAUUCUGAUGAUGCUAUAUGUAAUUUUGACCUGGGAAAGGUUUACUUCUGUUCCUUCAGUCUGGUCGUUACAACUAUGGUCUUCUCUUGGUUCAGUGCCAAGAUAACUUCAUGUCUAUGGUAGGGGCUGUACAUAUUUCAAACCUGGUACCUGGCCAAGUGGCAUAGGACAGAGAAGGAGUUCAUCUGUGAUGCCUCUGACUCUUUCACUGCCACUGAUGAGCAGUGGGUAGUGAAGAGCUUGUUCCAGCCCUAGAAGAAGGUGGCUAGCCCACCUUUAAGCUCUGUCUUCGCCAUCAGGACUUUGAACCCGGUACAGACAUCUUUGAGAACAUCCAGAACGCCAUCAACACUAGCUGGAAAAUGUUGUGUGUGGUCAGUAACCACUACCUGCACAGUGAGUGGGGCCAGCUUGAAGUACAGCUGUCCAGCAUCAAGAUGUUCUACGAGCAUGAGAGCGUUAUAAUCUUGAUCUACCUGGAAGAGAUCCCAAACUAUAAGUUAUCCAGCUACCACUGACUCAGGAAGCUUGUGAACUGGCAGACAUUUAUCAACUGGCCAUACAGUGCCCGUGAGAGGCCUCUCUUCUGGGCUCAUAUUAGAAAUGCAUUGGGUGACAAAUCUGUGGAGAAAGACAAUGCACAGCUAAUUGUGGCUCGGUAACUGGAAGUCUUGGUGACCUCAAAUCCAAUAUUGCCCAAGGUGUGUCUAGGCUAAGAGCGUGCCUGAAUGCACCUGCUUUGCGGGGGAAAGGGCGUGGGUUGCUCGUGACCACAAGACCCGGGAUGAUUUGGUUAAUGUCAGUCAGGCAGCUGGAAGAGUGAAGGGGGCUGCUAGAGGAAGCUUCAGGAACAGUGUCCCCACUGUUAGGGGAUUAGAUAUCUGGAAAGUAUUUCUGUUUUAUUAAGGAGAAAGCUUGGGAGACAAAUCAUCUCAGAGUCUGGGGACCAGGAGGGCCCUCAUAUGCGCUUGAGAACAUUACUCUGCUAGUUUAUCCAAAUCAGUUCCUAUCAAGAUAGACUGACCUGUACUCCUUCUAAGAACCUGUAACAACAGAAAUACCACAUACAGGGCUCAAUAAAAGCAUUUUUAAAAAGUUAA
Molecule: non-coding RNA, 3653 nt
Organism: Equus caballus (horse)
Lineage: Eukaryota; Metazoa; Chordata; Mammalia; Perissodactyla; Equidae
Source: RefSeq, a predicted model, not a curated record